CCCUUGUGGUCACCUUUGGGGUCACCUUUGAGGGCAUCUUUGGGGGCAUCUUUGGGGGCACCUUCAGGGAGAACCCUGUGGUCACCUUUGGGGGCAUCUUUGGGGUCACCUUUGAUGGCAUCUUUGGUGUCACCCUCAUGGUCACCCCAGGGAUCACCCUUGUGGUCACCUGUGAAGUCAUCCUUGGUGUCACCCUCAUGGUCACCCUUGGGGGCACCUUUGGGGGCAUCUUUGAGGUCACCUUUGAAGUCACCUUUAAGGUCACCUUUGGGGGCAUCUUUGAGGUCACCUUUGGGGUCACCUUUGGGGUCAUCUUUGAGGGCAUCUUUGGGGUCACCUUUGGGGUCACCUUUGGGGGCAUCUUUGAAGUCACCUUUGAAGUCACCUUUGAGGUCACCUUUGGGGGCAUCUUUGAUGGCAUUUUUGGGGUCAUCCUCAUGGUCACCUUUGGGGUCACCUUCAAAGUUGCCUUUGGGGUCACCUUCGUGGUCACCUUCGGGGACAACCCUGUGGUCACCUUUGAUGGCAUCUUUGGGGUCACCCUUGGGGUCACCCCAGGGAUCAACUUAGGGGUCACCUUUGGGGGCAUCUUUGGGGGCAUCUCUGGGGGCAACAUUGAGUCACCUUCGUGGUCACCUUUGGGGGCAUCUUUGGUGUCACCCUUGGAGUCACCCUUGUGGUCACCCUUGUGGGCACCUUCAGGGUCACCUUUGGGGACACUUUGGGGCUGUCUUUGGGGUCACCCUUGGGGUCACCUUCAAAGUUGCCUUUGGGGUCACCCUUAUGGUCAUCUUUGGGGUCACCUUUGAGGGCAACUUUGGGGUCACCUUUGAUGGCAUCUUUGGUGUCACCCUCAUGGUCACUCUUGGGGUCACCUUUGGGGGCAACUUUGGGGUCACCCUUGGGGUCACCUGUGAGGUCACCUGCGGGGUCACCCUCAUGGUCACCCAUGUGGUCACCUUCAGGGUCACCUUUGGGGUCACCUUUGGGGUCACUCUCAUGGUCACCUUUGGGGUCACCCUUGGGGUCACCCUCAUGGUCGCCCACAUGGUCACCCUUGGGGUCACCUCCAAAGUUGCCUUUGGGGUCACCUUCGUGGUCACCCCUGGGGUCACCUUUGGGGGCAUCUUUGAGGUCACCUGUGAGGUCACCCUCAUGGUUACCCUUGUGAGCACCUUCAGGGUCACCUUUAGGGGCACUUUGGGGUUGUCCUUGGGGUCACCCUUGGGGUCACCCUUGGGGUCACCUUCAAAGUUGCCUUUGGGGUCACCCUUACGGUCAGCUUUGGGGUCACCCUUGUGGUCGCCCUUGUGGUCACUUUUUGGGGUCACCUUGGGGGCACCUUCAAGGUCACCCUUGGGGUCACCUGUGAAGUCACCCUUGGGGUCACCCUCAUGGUCACCCUUGUGGGCAUCUUUGGGGGUAGCUUUGAUGGCAUCUUUGGGGUCACCUUUGAAGUCACCUUUGAGGUCACCUUUGGGGGCAUCUUUGGGGACACCUUUGAGGUCACCUUUGGGGUCACUCUCAUGGUCACCUUUGAGGUCACCUUUGGGGGCAUCUUUGGGGGCACCUUUGAGGUCACCUUUGAUGGCAUCUUUGGGGUCACCUUCAUGGUCGCCUUUGGGGUCACCUUCAAAGUUGCCUUUGGGGUCACCUUCGUGGUCACCUUUGGGGCAUCUUCAGGGACAAACUUGUGGUCACCUUUGGGGUCACCUUUGAGGGCACCUUUGGGGUCACCCUUGUGGACACCUUUGGGGUCAACUUUUAGGGUCACCUUUGGGGUCACCUUCAAGGUCACCCUCGUGGUCACCUUUGGGUCACUUUGGUGCCACCUUUGGGUCACUUUGGUGCCACCUUUGGGUCACUUUGGUGCCACCUUUGGGUCACUUUGGGUCACUUUGGGGUCACCUUUGGGUCACUUUGGUGCCACCUUUGGGUCACUUUGGGGCCACUUUGGUGCCACCUUUGGGUCACUUUGGUGCCACCUUUGGGUCACUUUGGGUCACUUUGGGGUCACCUUUGGGCCUCUUUGGUGUCACCUUUGGGGUCACUUUGGUGUCACCUUUGGGUCACUUUGGUGCCACCUUUGGGUCACUUUGGUACCACCUUUGGGUCACUUUUGGGUCACUUUGGUGUCACUUUCGUGUCACUUUGGUGCCACCUUUGGGUCACUUUUUUGUCACCUUUGGGUCACUUUGGUGUCACCUUUGGGUCACUUUUGGGUCACUUUGGUGCCACCUUUGGGUCACUUUUUUGGUCACUUUGGUGCCACCUUUGGGUCACUUUUGGGUCCUCUUUUGGUCACUUUCGGGUCACCUUUUGGUCACUUUGGUGUCACCUUUGGGUCACUUUUGGUGUCACUUUGGUGCCACCCUUGGUCACUUCCGGGUCACUUUGGUGUCACCUUUGGGUCACUUCGGUGUCACCUUUGGGGUCACUUUUGUGUCACUUUGGUGUCACCUUUGGGUCACUUUGGUGUCACUUUGGGUCACCUUUGGGUCACUUUGGUGUCACUUUGGGUCACCUUUGGGUCACUUUGGUGUCACUUUGGUGUCACCUUUGGGUCACUUUGGUGCCACCUUUGGGUCACUUUGGUGUCACUUUGGGUCACCUUUGGGUCACUUUGGUGUCACUUUGGGUCACCUUUGGGUCACUUUGGUGUCACUUUGGUGCCACCUUUGGUGUCACCUUUGGGUCACUUUGGUGUCACUUUUGGGGUCACUUUGGGGUCACUUUUGUGUCACCUUUGGGUCACUUUGGUGCCACCCUUUGGUCACUUUGGUGCCACCUUUGGGUCACUUUGGUGUCACUUUGGGUCACCUUUGGGUCACUUUGGUGUCACUUUGGGUCACCUUUGGGUCACUUUGGUGUCACUUUGGUGCCACCUUUGGUGUCACCUUUGGGUCACUUUGGUGUCACUUUUGGGGUCACUUUGGGGUCACUUUUGUGUCACCUUUGGGUCACUUUGGUGCCACCCUUUGGUCACUUUGGUGCCACCUUUGGGUCACUUUGGUGUCACUUUGGGUCACUUUGGUGUCACUUUGGUGUCACCUUUGGGUCACUUUGGUGUCACCUUUGUGUCACCUUUUGGUCACUUUGGUGUCACCUUUGGGUCACUUUGGUGCCACCUUUGGGUCACUUUGGUGCCACCUUUGGGUCACUUUGGGGUCACUUUGGUGCCACCUUUGGGUCACUUUGGGGUCACUUUGGUGCCACCUUUGGGUCACUUUGGUGUCACCUUUGGGUCACUUUGGUGCCACCUUUGUGUCACCUUUGGGCCACUUUGGUGUCACCUUUGGGUCACUUUGGGGUCACCUUUGGGUCACUUUGGUGUCACCUUUGGGUCACCUUUGUGUCACUUUCGUGUCACUUUGGUGUCACCUUUGGGUCACUUUGGGGUCACUUUUUGGUGCCACCUUUGGGGUCACCUUUUGGUCACUUUUGUGUCACUUUUGUGUCACCUUUGGGUCACUUUGGUGUCACCUUUUGUGUCACCUUUGGGUCACUUUGGUGUCACCUUUGGUGUCACCUGUGGGUCACUUUGGUGUCACCUGUGGGUCACUUUGGUGUCACCUUUGGGUCACUUUGGGGUCACCUUUGGGUCACUUUGGGGUCACUUUGGUGCCACCUUUGGGUCACUUUGGUGCCACCUUUGGGUCACUUUGGGGUCACUUUGGGUCACCUUUGUGUCACCUUUGGGUCACUUUGGUGUCACCUUUGGGUCACUUUGGUGCCACCUUUGGGUCACUUUGGUGUCACUUUGGGUCACCUUUGGGUCACUUUGGUGUCACUUUGGGUCACCUUUGGGUCACUUUGGUGUCACUUUGGUGCCACCUUUGGUGUCACCUUUGGGUCACUUUGGUGUCACUUUUGGGGUCACUUUGGGGUCACUUUUGUGUCACCUUUGGGUCACUUUGGUGCCACCCUUUGGUCACUUUGGUGCCACCUUUGGGUCACUUUGGUGUCACUUUGGGUCACCUUUGGGUCACUUUGGUGUCACUUUGGGUCACCUUUGGGUCACUUUGGUGUCACUUUGGUGCCACCUUUGGUGUCACCUUUGGGUCACUUUGGUGUCACUUUUGGGGUCACUUUGGGGUCACUUUUGUGUCACCUUUGGGUCACUUUGGUGCCACCUUUGGGUCACUUUGGUGCCACCUUUGGGUCACCUUUGGGUCACUUUGGGGUCACUUUGGUGUCACCUUUGGGUCACUUUGGUGUCACCUUUGUGUCACCUUUUGGUCACUUUGGUGUCACCUUUGGGUCACUUUGGUGCCACCUUUGGGUCACUUUGGUGCCACCUUUGGGUCACUUUGGGGUCACUUUGGUGCCACCUUUGGGUCACUUCCGGGUCACUUUUGUGCCACCUUUGGGUCACUUUGGUGUCACCUUUGGGUCACUUUGGUGCCACUUUGGUGUCACCUUUGGGUCACUUUGGUGUCACCUUUGGGUCACUUUGGGGUCACCUUUGGGUCACUUUGGUGUCACCUUUGGGUCACCUUUGUGUCACUUUCGUGUCACUUUGGUGUCACCUUUGGGUCACUUUGGGGUCACUUUUUGGUGCCACCUUUGGGGUCACCUUUUGGUCACUUUUGUGUCACUUUUGUGUCACCUUUGGGUCACUUUGGUGUCACCUUUUGUGUCACCUUUGGGUCACUUUGGUGUCACCUUUGGUGUCACCUGUGGGUCACUUUGGUGUCACCUGUGGGUCACUUUGGUGUCACCUUUGGGUCACUUUGGGGUCACCUUUGGGUCACUUUGGGGUCACUUUGGUGCCACCUUUGGGUCACUUUGGUGCCACCUUUGGGUCACUUUGGGGUCACUUUGGUGCCACUUUGUGUCACUUUGGUGCCACCUUUGGGGUCACUUUUGGGUCACUUUGGUGUCACCUUUGGGUCACUUUGGGGUCACCUUUGGGUCACCUUUGUGUCACCUUUGGGUCACCUUUGUGUCACUUUGGGGUCACCUUUGGGUCACUUUGGUGCCACCUUUUGGUCACUUUCGUGUCAACUUUGGGUCACCUUUGGGUCACUUUGGUGUCACUUUUGGGUCACCUUUGGGUCACUUUUGGUGCCACCCUUUUGUCCCUUGGGAUCACUUUUGUGUCACCUUUGGGUCACUUUGGUGCCACCUUUGGGUCAACUUUGUGUCACCUUAGGUCACUUUUGGGUCCCUUUUGGUGUCACUUUUGGGUCACUUUGGGGUCACUUUGUGUCACUUUGGUGUCACCUUUGGGUCACUUUGGUGCCACCUUUGGGUCACUUUGGGGUCACCUUUGGUGCCACCUUUGGGUCACUUUGGUGCCACCUUUGGGUCACUUUGGUGCCACCUUUGGGUCACCUCUGGGUCACUUUGGUGUCACCUUUGGGUCACUUUGGGGUCACUUUGGUGCCACCUUUGGGUCACUUUGGUGCCACCUUUGGGUCACUUUGGUGCCACCUUUGGGUCACUUUGGGGUCACAUUUUGGUCACUUUGGGGUCACCUUUGGGGUCACUUUGGGGUCACUUUGGGGUCACUUUGGUGUCACUUUUGUGUCACCUUUGGGUCACUUUGGUGCCACCUUUGGGUCACUUUGGUGUCACCUUUGGGUCACUUUUGUGUCACCUUUGUGUCACUUUGGGGUCACCUUUGGGUCACUUUUGUGUCACCUUUGGGUCACUUUGGUGUCACUUUGCCACGUCCGGUCGGGUUUGGUUCCCCCAAAUUCAAAAAUUUUGGGAAAAAAAAUAAUCAAAAAUUCCAAAGAAAAUCGGGAAAUUUUUAAUUAAAAAAAAUUUAAUUAAAAAAAAUAAAUUAAAAAAAAAUUUAAUUUUUAGUUUUUAUAGAAUAAAAUCUAAAAGGAUUUAAAUUCCCAAGAGAAUUUGGAAAUAAAGAGGAAAAUCCAAUUAAAAUUUAAAUUUUUUGGGGUGAAAAUGAAAUAAAAAUUAGAAUUUCAUGGCAGAAAAAUCAAAUAAAAAUUAGAAUUUCGUUUUAAUAUAAUAAUUUAAUUUAUUUAAUGUAAAUAAGUUCAAGAGGAUUAAAAAGAGGGAGGAGAAAUGAAAAAUAUUUUAAAAAAAGAGAUUAAAAAUGAAAUUUUUUUUGAGGAAAUUUUGGAAAUAUUUCAGAGGAAAAAAUCGGUUAAAAAGAGGAAAAAUGAAAUUAUUUUUUAAAAAUUAAAAAGAAAUUGAAUAAAUGAA
Molecule: long non-coding RNA, 6174 nt
Filed under: Taeniopygia guttata (zebra finch)
Lineage: Eukaryota; Metazoa; Chordata; Aves; Passeriformes; Estrildidae
Description: lncRNA (ENSTGUG00000020982.1)
Source: RNAcentral